CCCCUAGACGUUCUGGGCUGCACGCGCGCUACAAUAAUACGCACAGCGAGUAUCACCGAGCUCGAAAGGGCAAGGUAAACAAUAGAAAAGGUACUGUAAUGGUUAUAGAUCCUUGUAAUUAUCGAUCUUCAACGAGGAAUUCCUAGUAAGUAUGUGUCAUCAUCACGCACUGAUUACGUCCCUGCCCUUUGUACACACCGCCCGUCGCUCCUACCGAUUGGGUGAGCCGAUGAAACUCUCGGAUGUAGGCUAUUCAUAGCCCGCAGAAGAGAUUUGAAUCGUAGCGCUUAGAGGAAGGAGAAGUCGUAACA
This 311-nucleotide ribosomal RNA is filed under the name uncultured eukaryote. RNAcentral's name for it is "partial 18S ribosomal RNA". It matches the Rfam family "Eukaryotic small subunit ribosomal RNA", at positions 1470 to 1796 of the family's 1831-position model. The record is from RNAcentral.